GGUCAAGUUAUUAAGGGUGCAGGGCGGAUGCCUUGGCACUAGGAGCCGAUGAAGGACGUGAUAAGCUGCGAUAAGCUUCGGGGAGUUGCACGUAAACUUUGAUCCGAAGAUUUCCGAAUGAGGAAACUCACUUAGAGUAAUGUCUAAGUAUCAUUAAGUGAAUACAUAGCUUAAUGAGGGGAACUCAGGGAACUGAAACAUCUAAGUACCUGAAGGAAGAGAAAGAAAUUCGAUUCCGUAAGUAGCGGCGAGCGAACGCGGAUUAGCCCAAACCAAUAAAGUUUUCUUUAUUGGGGUUGCGGACAUAUCAUAACGAAGAGGUAUCGUAAUUGAAGAGGUUUGGAAAGACCCACCACAGAAGGUAAUAGUCCUGUAUGUUAAACGAGAAGACUUUAGAUAUG
This 401-nucleotide ribosomal RNA is filed under the name Clostridioides difficile. Its description in RNAcentral is "partial 23S ribosomal RNA". It matches the Rfam family "Bacterial large subunit ribosomal RNA", at positions 1 to 403 of the family's 2925-position model. Lineage: Bacteria; Bacillati; Bacillota; Clostridia; Peptostreptococcales; Peptostreptococcaceae. The record is from RNAcentral.